This is a non-coding RNA of Vigna umbellata (rice bean), 682 nucleotides long. The record is from RefSeq and is a predicted model, not a curated record. NCBI's taxonomy places the organism in Eukaryota, Viridiplantae, Streptophyta, Magnoliopsida, Fabales, Fabaceae.
GUCAGCAAUGAGGAGGGUGAGGAAUAUGCCAGAGAAAGUGGCUUGUCUUUUCUUGAAACUUCAGCAAAAACAGCACAAAAUGUGAACGAACUCUUCUAUGAAAUAGCUAAGAGAUUGGUAAAAGCUAACCCUUCACGUCAAAGUGGAAUCAAGCUGCAUGGCAGACCUACAGAAAGUAGAAGAAGAUACUUUUGCUGUGCUUAAUGGCAUGUUCUUGUCCUCUGGGAAGUAUCGUUAUUUAUAAUGUCAUGUCUAAUUGUACUUAAAUAUAUACACUGUGUCCAUUGUUGAUGUCAACGUAAUUGCUCAAACAAGAAGAACAAAGACAUGUUCAGUGUACAUUGUAAGAUCCAAAGUUGUCCAUUGCUUGGAAAAAGAUCGCUUUCAUUCAGCAUCAUGAGAACUUUUAGAUGGUUUUCAUUUGGCUUUUCACAUGUGAAAAUCAUAAUUUGUCACCUUCAAAAGUAAUUGUUUUUUCAAUUAUUUUGACCUUUUAGAGUUAAUACAUUGUUCUAUACCUUAUGGUAUUUUGUCUGUAUCUCAUUUUGACCUGACCAAAAGAUGAAAAGAAAAGAACUUGUCUCUGUUGCAUCCAAAUGUAAUGACAUCAUUGUGUCCAAUACUUUCUCUUUGACUUUUUGAUUUAUCAUACUUUGCCUGUGCAGUAUGAAACCUUGAUCAA